GUUUGGAUGGCCGAGUGGUCUAAGGCGCUAGUUUCAGGAUUAGCAUCAUCUCAGAUGCAAACCAUGUGCUCACACACAUACUAGUCCGAAAGGGGGCGUGGGUUCGAAUCCCACUCCAAUCA
Molecule: non-coding RNA, 122 nt
Organism: Mycena olivaceomarginata
Lineage: Eukaryota; Fungi; Basidiomycota; Agaricomycetes; Agaricales; Mycenaceae
Source: the annotation of a GenBank genome assembly